GUCUAUAAAAUGGAAGCAAGAGCGACCACACGACCAGGAUGAAAACAUGAUCAAUCAAGCAGUUGAUCGAGCUAGCAUCAGAGUAUCCACAAGUUAAAUUGCUACAUGCAUCUAUAUUUGUUUCAAGAGGCCAGAAUCAUAUGUGUACUAAACCGACCGAGAACACGGUGAGAAUGCGAGGUAAGUGUUUGAGAAUGGGAGGUAUUCAGGAAACAAGAUACAAGUUCUUGACAGCUGGUUGAUGGACGAAACUGAGGGUGUGCAAGAGCACCUGACCGGUCUUAAAACAUUUUUAGAGAGCUCCAUAGCGAGAAGAGUCCUCACUGUUUACAUUUACAUUUGUCUUGUAGAUGUUGUAUUUGGUGAACAAGUCUACUGAUGGGUACGAGAAAAGCACGAUAAUAUUGUUGUUUGCCUACUACUUGGUGCUAGAUCUUGUUUUUUCUUUUUGGCAUGGAGCAAAUUAGGUGAUUAGU
This 476-nucleotide long non-coding RNA is filed under the name Oryza brachyantha (malo sina). Its description in RNAcentral is "long non-coding RNA (OBRA_LNC003182)". The record is from RNAcentral. Lineage: Eukaryota; Viridiplantae; Streptophyta; Magnoliopsida; Poales; Poaceae.